AGAGUUUGAUUCUGGCUCAGAUUGAACGCUGGCGGAAUGCUUAACACAUGCAAGUCGAGCGGGAUGGAGAAAUUUGGUUCGCUUGAGAGGGGUGAAGAGGUGAUAGAAGCCUGCCUCUCUGCGGGGGAUAGGGGGAUGAAACUUGGAAAAAUACCGCAUGAUGUCGUACGACCUACAUGGAGGAGAACGCGACGAGAGGGACCCUCUACGAGCGUCCUUGUAGCAGUCGUAGGUCCUNAUGUACGUCGCAUAUGAGUCCUGAGAUGAGCGUGGUUAGAGUUGGACGCGCUAACAUAGGCGUCGACGAUCGAGGUACGCAUGCGCUACUAGACGUAGGUACUGAUGCAGGCAUAGCAUCCAGGUACACUAGCAUGAGCAACGUGUACUCAGCGACGUGCUCUCACGAGCGUACGCGUCACGCGAGAUGGCGAGACAUAUGUGGAACAUAUGUGGGCAGCAAUGCGCGUCGGAUACACGACCUGAAUUC
Molecule: ribosomal RNA, 487 nt
Filed under: uncultured beta proteobacterium
Lineage: Bacteria; Pseudomonadati; Pseudomonadota; Betaproteobacteria
Description: partial 16S ribosomal RNA
Source: RNAcentral